AACGAACGCUGGCGGCAGGCUUAACACAUGCCAGUCGAACGCCCCGCAAGGGGAGUGGCCGACGGGUGAGUAACGCGUGGGAACAUACCCUUUCCUGCGGAAUAGCUCCGGGAAACUGGAAUUAAUACCGCAUACGCCCUACGGGGGAAAGAUUUAUCGGGGAAGGAUUGGCCCGCGUUGGAUUAGCUAGUUGGUGGGGUAAAGGCCUACCAAGGCGACGAUCCAUAGCUGGUCUGAGAGGAUGAUCAGCCACAUUGGGACUGAGACACGGCCCAAACUCCUACGGGAGGCAGCAGUGGGGAAUAUUGGACAAUGGGCGCAAGCCUGAUCCAGCCAUGCCGCGUGAGUGAUGAAGGCCUUAGGGUUGUAAAGCUCUUUCACCGAUGAAGAUAAUGACGGUAGUCGGAGAAGAAGCCCCGGCUAACUUCGUG
RNAcentral lists this ribosomal RNA (431 nucleotides) under uncultured bacterium. RNAcentral's name for it is "partial 16S ribosomal RNA". It matches the Rfam family "Bacterial small subunit ribosomal RNA", at positions 29 to 507 of the family's 1533-position model. The record is from RNAcentral.